This is a long non-coding RNA of Magnolia sinica, 1717 nucleotides long. RefSeq lists it as uncharacterized. The transcript is spliced from 4 exons. NCBI's taxonomy places the organism in Eukaryota, Viridiplantae, Streptophyta, Magnoliopsida, Magnoliales, Magnoliaceae. The record is from RefSeq and is a predicted model, not a curated record.
CACGAAUUUAUUAGCAACAUGUAAUAUUAGAGAGAGUGUGUGUGCGCGUUUAUGAUGAUGAUGAUUUUGUAGUAGUUCUAGAGUAUUUUAGUGAAUUAUAAUAUAAUCUAUGGAGGUCGGAUCCACCAUGAAGCUUUGAAGGGUAAGCCUAUCCUACAAAACUUCAAUACCAAUGUAAUAGUUUAAUGCAUGAUCAAGGUUCUUGAGUUUUUUAACCUGCCAAAAUUCUGUUGUUCUUUGAUUAAAAUUCAUGCAUAAUAUUUUAUUGCUUGCAAAUGCAUAUUUAUUACCCUCUUGCAUCUUGACAAUUGGACACUAUUAUUGUUGAGACAUGGAUGCUAAGAAAAAUGACUAAACUGCCCUGAGUACCAAUGUAUAGCUUACUGCAUAUCAAAGUAGUUAACAAAUAUUUCAAACAGUUGGUGUAUGUUUCUUCUUAACUGUUGGAUUCAUGUCUACCUAAUAUAAAUUCAAUGACUUUUUAAGUUCACGUUGUGGUUGAAAAUGAGCAAUUCGUUUGGCUUCUAGGGUGUUCUAAACCUUGUUGGGUUAUCUUGAAAUUGGCUGAAUCAAGUUGGCCAGAUCUCGAGCCAUUUGUUGCAGUUAUUGCUACCAUGAAUUGCUGGAUGUUUACUUGGUCUUUGGAUGAUGCAGAUUUUGGGGAGUGGUCUAUCUACACCAAAUUUGUGUUACUAAGCCAUGGAUCCCACUCAUGGGCUUGAUAUUGGAGAAGUGGACUCAUUGUAAUUUGAUUUGGGUACAAUUAGAGCUGCCACUAAUAACUUCUCAGAUGUAAAUAAGCUUGGACAAGGUGGAUUUGGUGCUGUUUAUAAGGGUAGGUUGGACGACCAAGAAAUAGCAGUGAAAAGGCUGUUUAGGAGUACUAAAGAAGGGUUAGAAGAGUUCAAGAAUGAAAUAGUAUUAGUAGCUAAGCUUCAACACAUGAAUCUUGUUAGGCUCUUGGGCUGUUGCUUGGAUGGAGACGAACAGAUUCUCAUUUUUGAAUAUGUGCCCAACAAAAGCCUCGAUAAGUUUCUGUAUGAUCCAACUAAGCGUGCAUGUUUGGAUUGGGAAAGGCGCUACAAAAUCAUAGGAGGGAUUGCACGUGGGCUGCUUUAUCUUCACGAAGAUUCUCGGCUUAAGAUUAUUCAUAGAGAUCUCAAGGCAAGUAAUAUCUUGCUAGAUGGGGAGGUGAAUCCAAAAAUUUGGUGUUGUUUAUGCCACCGUCUAUUGGAACUAUAAUAACCAAUCUUCGACCCUUGUUCAGUUGAAUGUGGAUCAUUGCUGCAUUUCUCUUAUCAGCCGUUUAUUUCCAAGCAACAGCUUGAAAACUAAGGAUUUUUCUGUGUUAGUCAUAUUCAGGGAGUGGUCCAUCCAUGGCGGCACGCAAGGACCAAUGGCCUGGACCGCUGAACCAUGUUGCUGCUUGUCCGAAUUGAAAACCUGCAUAUAGUGUGCAUAUCCUAACCUGAGUAGCUAAGUAUUCUGGCAUUGUUGUAUGUCAUGUCUAAUCCACCUCAAGUCAUAUUCCAAUUGUGAAAAAACAAGUCAGCUUGAUUUAUGGUUGAUGGCACAUAUAAUUUCUUAUACAAAUGAGUGCAUUUUGUAAGUGAAAAUCGUCCUUCCGUGGGUUUGUGAUUUUAUAUACCAUGGAGGGUUUGAUCAUUGGUCCAAAUAAAAUAAGUUAGUGAAAUCAGAUACAUUUUCCUUUGUUUCA